CAGCAGCCACGGUAAUACGUAGGGUGCGAGCGUUAAUCGGAAUUACUGGGCGUAAAGCGUGCGCAGGCGGUUCGUUAAGACAGAUGUGAAAUCCCCGGGCUUAACCUGGGAACUGCAUUUGUGACUGGCGAGCUAGGGUAUGGCAGAGGGGGGUAGAAUUCCACGUGUAGCAGUGAAAUGCGUAGAGAUGUGGAGGAAUACCGAUGGCGAAGGCAGCCCCCUGGGCCAAUACUGACGCUCAUGCACGAAAGCGUGGGGAGCAAACAGGAUUAGAUACCCCAGUAGUCCCUGUCUCUUAUAC
Molecule: ribosomal RNA, 301 nt
Filed under: uncultured bacterium
Lineage: Bacteria
Description: partial 16S ribosomal RNA
Rfam family: Bacterial small subunit ribosomal RNA
Source: RNAcentral